UACGAGGGGGGCAAGUGUUGUUCGGAAUCACUGGGCGUAAAGGGAGCGUAGGCGGAUGUUUAAGUUGGAUGUUUAAAACCGGGGCCUAACCUCGGAGCGGCAUCUGAAACUGGGCAUCUUGAGUAGGUCAGAGGCUGGUGGAAUUGGAGGUGUAGCGGUGGAAUGCGUAGAGAUCUCUAAGAACACCUAUUGCGAAGGCAGCCAGCUGGGACCAUAUUGACGCUGAGGCUCGAAAGCGUGGGGAGCAAACAGG
This 253-nucleotide ribosomal RNA is filed under the name uncultured bacterium. Its description in RNAcentral is "partial 16S ribosomal RNA". It matches the Rfam family "Bacterial small subunit ribosomal RNA", at positions 524 to 776 of the family's 1533-position model. The record is from RNAcentral.